AAUGCAUAGGAAUCUACCCAGUAGUGGGGGAUAACGUGGAGAAAUCCACGCUAAUACCGCAUAUGCCCUACGGGGCAAAGCAGGGGACCUUCGGGCCUUGCGCUAUUGGAUGAGCCUAUGUCGGAUUACCUUGUUGGUGAGGUAAAAGCUCACCAAGGCAACGAUCCGUAGCUGGUCUGAGAGGAUGAUCAGCCACACUGGGACUGAGACACGGCCCAG
RNAcentral lists this ribosomal RNA (219 nucleotides) under uncultured bacterium. Its description in RNAcentral is "partial 16S ribosomal RNA". It matches the Rfam family "Bacterial small subunit ribosomal RNA", at positions 112 to 334 of the family's 1533-position model. The record is from RNAcentral.